GAUGAACGCUAGCUACAGGCUUAACACAUGCAAGUCGCGGGGCAGCAUGGGGGUUGCUUGCAAUCCCCGAUGGCGACCGGCGCACGGGUGAGUAACGCGUAUCCAACCUGCCCUUCACCACGGGAUAACCCGGCGAAAGUCGGACUAAUACCGUAUGUUGUCCAUUGACGGCAUCCGAUUUGGACGAAAGGUUUGGCGGUGAAGGAUGGGGAUGCGUCCGAUUAGCUGGACGGCGGGGUGACGGCCCACCGUGGCGACGAUCGGUAGGGGUUCUGAGAGGAAGGUCCCCCACACUGGAACUGCGACCCGGUCCAGACUCCUACGGGAGGCAGCAGUGAGGAAUAUUGGUCACUGGGCGUAAGCCUGAACCAGCCAAGUAGCGUGCAGGAGGCCGGCCCUAUGGGUUGUAAACUGCUUUUAUGCGGGGAUAAAGUGGCCCACGUGUGGGUUUUUGCAGGUACCGCAUGAAUAAGGACCGGCUAAUUCCGUG
This 490-nucleotide ribosomal RNA is filed under the name uncultured bacterium. RNAcentral describes it as "partial 16S ribosomal RNA". It matches the Rfam family "Bacterial small subunit ribosomal RNA", at positions 28 to 507 of the family's 1533-position model. The record is from RNAcentral.